Molecule: ribosomal RNA, 720 nt
Filed under: uncultured bacterium
Lineage: Bacteria
Description: bacterial SSU rRNA
Rfam family: Bacterial small subunit ribosomal RNA
Source: RNAcentral
GAGUUUGAUCCUGGCUCAGGACGAACGCUGGCGGCGCGCUUAAUACAUGCAAGUCGAGCGAGAACCGGAGCUUCGGCUCCGGGGACAGCGGCGAACAGGUGAGUAACACGUGGGUAACCUGCCCUCGGCACCGGGAUAGCCCGGGGAAACCCGGAUUAAUACCGGAUGGCCCUUUCGGUCUUCGGACCGGUCGGGAAAGGUAGCUUCGGCCUCCGGCCGAGGAUGGGCCCGCGGCGGAUUAGCUUGUUGGUGAGGUAACGGCUCACCAAGGCCCCGAUCCGUAGCUGGUCUGAGAGGACGAUCAGCCACACUGGGACUGAGACACGGCCCAGACUCCUACGGGAGGCAGCAGUAGGGAAUCUUGCGCAAUGGGCGAAAGCCUGACGCAGCGACGCCGCGUGCGGGAAGACGGCCUUCGGGUUGUAAACCGCUUUCAGGAGGGACGAAGCCACUCGGGUGAAUAGCCCAGAGGGUGACGGUACCUCCAGAAGAAGCCCCGGCUAACUACGUGCCAGCAGCCGCGGUAAUACGUAGGGGGCAAGCGUUGUCCGGAUUUAUUGGGCGUAAAGCGCGUGUAGGCGGCCAGGUAGGUCGGUUGUGAAAAUUGGAGGCUCAACCUCCAGACGUCGAUCGAAACCAUCUGGCUAGAGUCCGGAAGAGGAGAAUGGAAUUCCUGGUGUAGCGGUGAAAUGCGCAGACAUCAGGAAGAACACCGAUGGC